RNAcentral lists this ribosomal RNA (153 nucleotides) under Sphenodon punctatus (tuatara). RNAcentral describes it as "5.8S ribosomal RNA (ENSSPUG00000003563.1)". It matches the Rfam family "5.8S ribosomal RNA". Rfam says of the family: 5.8S ribosomal RNA (5.8S rRNA) is a component of the large subunit of the eukaryotic ribosome. The record is from Rfam by way of RNAcentral. Lineage: Eukaryota; Metazoa; Chordata; Lepidosauria; Sphenodontia; Sphenodontidae.
GACUCUGGGCAGUGGAUGACUUGACUUGUGUGUCAACUAAGAAUGCAGCCAGCUGUAGGAGUUAUCGUGAAUGGCAAUACACACUGAUCACUGACAGUUUUAAUGCACAUGUGGCCCUGGGUUAAACUUAAACCUAUGCCUGUCUAAGCAUCA